AACGGUCUAUACCUGCGGUACCUGCGGAGGGAUCAUUAUCGAGUUUACAACUCCCAAACCAUUGUGAAUCUUACCUUUUCGUUGCUUCGGCGGGAUCGCCCCGGGCGCUUCGGUGCCCCGGAUUCAGGCGCCCGCCGGGGGACCUAAACUCUUGUAUUAUAGUGGAUUUCUGAGUGGAUUACACAAAUAAUCAAAACUUUCAACAAUGGAUCUCU
This 215-nucleotide unclassified non-coding RNA is filed under the name soil metagenome. RNAcentral's name for it is "partial contains 5.8S ribosomal RNA, internal transcribed spacer 2, and large subunit ribosomal RNA". The record is from RNAcentral.